This 1276-nucleotide ribosomal RNA is filed under the name Hexaplex radix. Its description in RNAcentral is "Muricanthus radix 16S ribosomal RNA". The stretch from base 650 to 1276 matches the Rfam family "Archaeal large subunit ribosomal RNA", at positions 1423 to 2715 of the family's 2987-position model. The record is from RNAcentral. Lineage: Eukaryota; Metazoa; Mollusca; Gastropoda; Neogastropoda; Muricidae.
UAUAUAUUGUUUUCAGGUAUAUUAUAACAUUUGGAUUAAAAGUUAAAACAUUUGCAUAAUCAGUAAAGGUGAUUAAAAUUUAUUUUAUACUCGUAUCAAGUACCGAAAGGGAAAAAACGCACUUACAAUAAAGAAAAAAUUGAGUUUUGUACCUUUUGCAUCAUGGUUUAGCUAGAUUUAGAUUUCUUAAAAAAUUUCUCGAAACUUAGUGAGCUAUCUUUUGCUUAAAGUUUUAGCUUAAUAAAGUGGUUGUGGCAAAAACCUUUUUAAAACUAAAGAUAGAAAUGAGAUUUUUUCCGUACUAAGUGAUAGCUAGUUCUUCUCUUAAGGUAUAUAAGUACUGUAAGUUAAUCCUAUAUAGUGUUUUAUGACAUUACGAUAGGAAUUUUAACUAAAUUAAGCUCUAGAGGAUAAGCUCUAGAGUUAUAGAAUAAAAUUACAUAAAUGCAUAUAUAAAUUUAAGCUCGAAAAUAGCUAUAAUUGAGAUUUUGUUAUAAUUUCAUUAAUAAUUUGUAUCAUAUAAUAGCUUUGUUAUGUCCUUGGAGAAGUAAAACCUAAGAAUUGUAUUAUUUAGGCUAAUUUUAUGCUAAAAUGAGUAUUACAUUAUUUAUAAAUUUUCUUAAAGCAAGAACAAUUAAACUUAAAUAUUUAUUUCGAAAUUAAAUUGUAAAAAGGAACUCGGCAAAAUAACAUUCUGCCUGUUUAUCAAAAUACAAGGCCCCCUGUAUUUUAUUAAAUAGGGAGUCGGACCUGCCCGGUGAAAUUUUUUAACGGCCGCGGUACUCUGACCGUGCAAAGGUAGCAUAAUCAUUUGCCUUAUAACUGAAGGCUAGUAUGAAUGGUUUGACAAGAAUGUAACUGUCUCUUUACAAUUAGCUAGAAUUUUAUUUUUAGGUGAAGAAGCCUAUAUGCAAUUGAAAGACAAGAAGACCCUAUCGAGCUUAAAAAGAAUUGAUAAAUCCUAUUUUUAAUAAAACAUUAAUAUUAUUAUUACAAAUUUUAGUUGGGGCGACUGAGGAACAAAUAAAGCUUCCUUUAUGUACAAGUUAGACUUACAAGUUUUGAUCCAAAAAUUUUGAUUAAAGAAAUUAGUUACCGUAGGGAUAACAGCAUUAUCUUCUUUGAGAGUUCAUAUCGAAAAGAGGGUUUGUGACCUCGAUGUUGGACCAGAAUAUCCUAAAGAUGCAGCCGUCUUUAAGGGUUGGUCUGUUCGACCAUUAAAAUUCUACGUGAUCUGAGUUCAGACCGGCGUGAGCCAGGUCAGUUUCUAUCUUCA